GACGAACGCUGGCGGCGUGCUUAACACAUGCAAGUCGAACGGUAAGGCCCUUCGGGGUACACGAGUGGCGAACGGGUGAGUAACACGUGGGUGAUCUGCCCUGCACUUCGGGAUAAGCCUGGGAAACUGGGUCUAAUACCGGAUAGGACCACUGCCUGCAUGGGUGGUGGUGGAAAGCUUUUGCGGUGUGGGAUGGGCCCGCGGCCUAUCAGCUUGUUGGUGGGGUGAUGGCCUACCAAGGCGACGACGGGUAGCCGGCCUGAGAGGGUGACCGGCCACACUGGGACUGAGAUACGGCCCAGACUCCUACGGGAGGCAGCAGCGGGGAAUAUUGCACAAUGGGCGCAGGCCUGAUGCAGCGACGCCGCGUGAGGGAUGACGGCCUUCGGGUUGUAAACCUCUUUCAGCACCGACGAAGCGCAAGUGACGGUAGGUGCAGAAGAAGGACCGGCCAACUACGUGCCAGCCGCCGCAGUAA
RNAcentral lists this ribosomal RNA (478 nucleotides) under uncultured bacterium. RNAcentral describes it as "partial 16S ribosomal RNA". It matches the Rfam family "Bacterial small subunit ribosomal RNA", at positions 28 to 523 of the family's 1533-position model. The record is from RNAcentral.